This 253-nucleotide ribosomal RNA is filed under the name uncultured bacterium. RNAcentral's name for it is "partial 16S ribosomal RNA". It matches the Rfam family "Bacterial small subunit ribosomal RNA", at positions 524 to 776 of the family's 1533-position model. The record is from RNAcentral.
GACGAACCGUGCGAACGUUGUUCGGAAUCACUGGGCCUAAAGGGCGCGUAGGCGGCUUAUCAAGUCAGGGGUGAAAUCCGGCAGCUUAACUGUCGAAGUGCCUUUGAUACUGAUGAGCUCGAGGGAGGUAGGGGUGUGCGGAACUUCCGGUGGAGCGGUGAAAUGCGUUGAUAUCGGAAGGAACGCCGGUGGCGAAAGCGGCGCACUGGACCUCUUCUGACGCUGAGGCGCGAAAGCUAGGGGGGCAAACGGG